Molecule: ribosomal RNA, 301 nt
Filed under: uncultured bacterium
Lineage: Bacteria
Description: partial 16S ribosomal RNA
Rfam family: Bacterial small subunit ribosomal RNA
Source: RNAcentral
CAGUCGCCGCGGUAAUACGUAGGUGGCAAGCGUUGUCCGGAAUUAUUGGGCGUAAAGGGCUCGUAGGCGGUUUCUUAAGUCUGAUGUGAAAGCCCCCGGCUCAACCGGGGAGGGUCAUUGGAAACUGGGAAACUUGAGUGCAGAAGAGGAGAGUGGAAUUCCACGUGUAGCGGUGAAAUGCGUAGAGAUGUGGAGGAACACCAGUGGCGAAGGCGACUCUCUGGUCUGUAACUGACGCUGAGGAGCGAAAGCGUGGGGCGCAAACAGGAUUAGAUACCCCAGUAGUCCCUGUCUCUUAUAC